CCCGCGAUGAUGAUGUGUAGAAUCUUAGAUAGUUGUGAGUUAAAACUUUGGUGUAACCAUGCCUCGACUUUGUGGUCUCAAAGCUAUCUCACAUGUUUGGAGUCACUAUGAAAGGAUUGAAGAAGAUGAUGAUGGAUGG
Molecule: non-coding RNA, 139 nt
Organism: Nicotiana tabacum (common tobacco)
Lineage: Eukaryota; Viridiplantae; Streptophyta; Magnoliopsida; Solanales; Solanaceae
Source: RefSeq, a predicted model, not a curated record